CCCAUUCACAGUCCAGGGAUUGAAUCUCAUUAACACCACUGCCUUCAAUUAAGUUAUUUCUGAUUUAUGCCUUUUUUCAUGGAAUGAAU
Chelonoidis abingdonii (Abingdon island giant tortoise) is the source of this 89-nucleotide non-coding RNA. NCBI's taxonomy places the organism in Eukaryota, Metazoa, Chordata, Testudines, Testudinidae. The record is from RefSeq and is a predicted model, not a curated record.